GGGAAGGAUUGGCAACAGAUGUUAGCUCGGGGCCAAUCUUCCUCACUGAAAACAAAAAUGUGAAUUGAUAAUCAUAGUAUCUGUUGACUGUUCAAUUCAAAAGUGUGGCUUAAUUCUAGCUUACAGACUGGUGAAAAGGAGGACACAUAAGGGACCUUGGGGUAAAAUAUUAAUCAGGAGGCUCAUAAUCAAUCCCACACACCCUUGACCUUAGUUGAAACAAAAGUGCUGAUUUUUUGGAAUUCAGAAAGAGUGGAAUGAGAUUAGACGGAAUGACUUCUACUUAGGUGUUUUUUUUUUUUUUUUAAUUUCUAGAAUUCCUCCAUCCAGGAAUAGCCAAGUGAAUAGUACAAACCAUUGUCAUGUAAAAGCCUUGCAAAGUCAUCUGCUUUUAGUAAAGUCCUUCAAUCAGUACCACUUAAAGGACAGUCCAAAACGGAUACCAAUCCACAAACAUUUGUCUCUGGUCCUGAUGAGAAAUUAAUUUUGUAUUUAUUUCACCAAAGUACUGACCUACAACAGAUUGGAAAUUUUAAAAAAACAAACGAACUGGCCCUUCACCAGGGUUAGUUUGAGAAGCGCUUCCUUGAAUGGCAUUCCUGUGAGAAAGCUGCCAUGUUGUAAGCAGCCCUCUGUAGAAGCUCAGGUGGCAGGCCGAUGACAGGUCCUCUGUGUCUUCUCCAUUCAGCUGGUGAUGAAGAAAGACAGUGAAGACCAAGCAUGGGAGGAUUUUAUGGACCAGGCCUGGAAGUGACCCCCAUGACUUCCGCUCACAUUCUGUUGGCCAGAACUCAGCCACAUGGCCACACCUAGCUGCAAGGGAGGCUGGAAGAUGGGGCCUAGCAGUGUUCCCAAGACCAAGAAGGGAGCAUGGAUAUCUGUCUUUGGCAUAUCUGAAUCUCUGAUCUUACCUUAGCGGCAGCUUUCUGGUUGCCAAACUACAAGACGGAAGGCAGGCCUUCCUGGGCCAUCCAGAUCUGCUGCUGAGCCCCCUGCCGGCCCUGCCAGCCUUCUACCCGCCUUUUAAAAAGUGCCUGGCUUCCUUCCAUGGCAGCUCCGAGGGGAUACAUAUGAUGUUUUACAAAAGUCUUCACACUUCAGGAGUGGUCUUCAAGGUCCAUAUGGGACUAUUUAAUCACUGAACAAAGGCAAGUUUCCACUUAACCCCUGGGCGUUUUUCAUUUGUCUAUUUCAAUCAUGAUACUUUGGAGCAGUGACCAGAUUCAGAUCAGUUUUGGUUCUUACAUUGGACAUUGUUUUGGUCUGACCAGCCUCCCUCUCCCUGCCCUUUGCCAACAGCUGCCAGACUCUCCUUCGGGGGAACGACCCUAUUCCGUGGCACACAGUCUUGAUGAAACUGUCAAUCAGGGAGGGGGCGAGAUCUGAGACCCAAGCUUAGCCAAUCAGAUUCUUCUGGGGAUCUGAAUCACGAGUGGAAUUAACAUCAGGUCAGAGAAAAAAUGCACGUCCAGUGAGGCACCGCUAAUUCCUGCUUCUUGGAGUAGCAUACUGAGAAGGUGUAGCCUUUGGAGUAUGGGCUGUGGGGCCAGAUUGUUUGGGUUAGAAACACACUUUCUAUAUAAGACCUGAAGCAAGCUAGUUAACCUCAUGCCUCGGUUUCCUCAGAUUGUGAAAGGGGAUAAUAGUACUUCUCUCAUAGGGUUGUUGUUCACAUCGCAUAAAUCAGUGCAUGGGUCUCAGCAGGAACACUUGUGAGGACACAGGAACCACUCUGAGUAUUUGAAGCAGAAAAGGAAUUUGAUGCAUGGAUUAGGAACAUAAAAAUCAGUGAAAGGCUGGAGAAGCAGGCUCCAGGCUGCAGGACUGGCUUCUGGAACACACUUCCAAACUGGCCUGCCAGGGGCACUGUCUCUUCUGCCACCAUCAGGAAAGUGGACCAGUAGUGGACCAUCACAGGGACUUCAAGAACACAGUGCCACAGCUGUGACCCAGGGAGCAGGAAGGCACUUGGCUGCUCCUGUGACCACCUCUCGUCACUCAAGAAGCUGAGGACUGGACAGUGGACGGUACUCUAUCCAAGAGCAUCAAGAUCACCAAGGUUCAAUUUUUAAGGUUGAAACGUUGGCUGCUAGUAAAAGUGCUAAUAUUCAUAAGCAAGCGAUGCAACUUGUAACUGAAGGAUCUAAAUCUGAGGACCCUGUCAGCUCUAUAAUUUCAUAAUUCCCAAGUCACAUGCAAAAAUCAGUUUAAUUAACUUGUAAUUAUGCUUCUUAUCUUCUGCAUUGGCAAAGAGGGAGAGGAUAGUCAUUCAUGGGCCCUCCAGCAGCACAGAAGCAUUUAUUACUUGCAUCUUCCUAACUUCCUUGAAAUGUAGUUUUAAUACCAUAAUUCACUUUUGUAAUAGUGGCCUGGUGACUUGGGCAGUGCAAUCACAUAUGCUGUUGAGACUUCGACGGAGCCAAAGGAGAGGCAUCUGGACUGCAGCAACAUGAGUCUGACCGGGAGGAGAGAAGGAGGAUGAGGAAGCUAAUCCUGAUAGAGAUCCCACAGUCAGGUGUCCGCUGUGGGAGAGAGUAGGGGAACUCACCUGCCCUGCAGAAGGGGGUGUGUGGGUGUGGGUGGGGUGAGCUGAGCAAUGUGUUGGGCUCACAGACUGAAAAAUGAGCUGUGACUCAGGCUUCCAUUCAUACCAAAGAUCUGACCUAAUAGCAGAACCCAUCACCAGAAUCUAGGCACUGGGAAUGUUCAGGAGCUCAGUGAGCAGAGAGUUCAGGGGUCCACACACAGCAGGACCUCCCUAGUGAGGAGGGGGUGCUAGAGUGUGAGGAGAGGGACAUGUGAGGAGCAGGAGGACUUGCAGAGCUAAGCUGGGUCUCAGAGCCCCUUCUUCCUGUAAGUCACCACUGGGAUUGAGGCUGGAUACCAGUUACCCUGAGCAGAAACCACUAAACCAGCAUUUCUUUCACUGGAAUAGACUCCAGGCCUUUUUCGUUUGUUUAAUCAGAAGGAAAUUCUAUGUUAACUAGACUUUUUGCGGUGAUCAUUUCGCAAUGUAUACAAAUAUUGAAUCAUUAUGUUGUAUACCUGAAACCAAUAUAAUGUUACAUGUCAA
Non-coding RNA from Equus caballus (horse), 3073 nucleotides. The record is from RefSeq and is a predicted model, not a curated record. Lineage: Eukaryota; Metazoa; Chordata; Mammalia; Perissodactyla; Equidae.